UGAUAUGCUAUUAAUGAAUGUGUCCCUUAAGAAAGAAGGAAAAUACAAUAGUCUAGUGUGAGAAUAGUAUCCUCUAAAAGAGUAAAUAUAUUAUGGUUCCUAGUUGUAUACUAGCGGGUAGUGCGCGGCGGCACGCCGCGUCACAUGGAGUGGUAAGCUAUUUAGUUUUGUUUGUAAUCUCUACAUCAUGCUUUGCGAUCUUUGAGCGGCACCCGAGGCGCUUCAAUUUGCUUUGACCGAAACUCUAAAGCUCAAUCCACAAGGCUUCAUCAUCUUGUACCUUUUUUUCUAAAGAUUUAAAUAAACAAAGAAGGCAUGAUGCAAAGUGGACACUAAAUUACCAUGUUGAAAUUGCUAUUUUAUUCGGUAUGAAAGCACCUAAAAUUUAACAAAUCUAACUCCUUGGCUGUCAGGGCCAAGAUGAUGAUCUGAUAUCACCACACUAACAAAUAGAAAAUGUCCACAUUACCAAGAGGGAUAUAAGAUAAAUUUAGAACCGACUCCUCUGUUAUCCCCUAAACGUUCAGAUUUUUUUGUAUUGCCAAGCAAUUGUUCAACAGAGAGACAACAAUACAGUUUUCUUGUAUAUAUGACACAUUGAUUUGAUAGCUGUAUGGGAAUAUUCAUAAAGUGUGCAAUAUUAUCCUACUCCCUCCGUCCCAAAAUUCUUGUCUUAGAUUUGUCUAGAUAUGAAUGUAUCUAGUCACGUUUUAAUAUUUAAAUACAUCUAUUUUUAAAUAAAUGUAAGACAAGAAAUUUGGGACGGAGGGAGUAUUAGAGAAGCAAUCGCAUGCCUUCGAAGUAAUGCUGAUAGCUCCUUCGAUUAAACCCUCCUUACAAUGAUUUUUUGCCAUGAGGGCAAAUUAAUUAGAAGUCACAUGUGGACAAAGCUGGUAGGAUCAGAUCACAACAUCCCAACAAUCGACAUUAUAACAAAAAAGAACACAUUCAUAUAGCUACUAGUUCAUAUAGCUACUAAAAUAAUGUGGGUUGACAAAACAUAUGUCAAACACAUCAUCCCAAGAUGAUUCUGGUUGUAUAAUUUUUGUAUGUAAGUGUCAAAAACUGAAAUUAGCUCUUACCGACUUCUUGUGUAUUCCUAGUUGUGAUCACUUCAAACUCCUCCAUGUUUCCAUAGCCGCAUGUCAAA
Molecule: long non-coding RNA, 1150 nt
Filed under: Hordeum vulgare
Lineage: Eukaryota; Viridiplantae; Streptophyta; Magnoliopsida; Poales; Poaceae
Description: long non-coding RNA (HVUL_LNC012542)
Rfam family: MIR1120/MIR1122 microRNA precursor family (bases 643-778)
Source: RNAcentral